This 448-nucleotide ribosomal RNA is filed under the name uncultured bacterium. RNAcentral's name for it is "bacterial SSU rRNA". It matches the Rfam family "Bacterial small subunit ribosomal RNA", at positions 29 to 480 of the family's 1533-position model. The record is from RNAcentral.
AACGAACGCUGGCGGCGCGCCUAAUACAUGCAAGUCGAGCGAGAAGGUGUAGCAAUACACUUGUAAAGCGGCGAACGGGUGAGGAAUACAUGGGUAAUCUACCAUCGAGUGGGGAAUAACCAACCGAAAGGUUGGCUAAUACCGCGUACGCCUCCGGGUCUUCGGGUUCGGAGGGAAAGCUGCACUGUGAGUGUAGCGCUCUUUGAUGAGCUCAUGUCCUAUCAGCUUGUUGGUAGGGUAACGGCCUACCAAGGCUUUGACGGGUAGCUGGUCUGAGAGGACGAUCAGCCACACUGGCACUGCGACACGGGCCAGACUCCUACGGGAGGCAGCAGUAAGGAAUAUUGCGCAAUGGGCGCAAGCCUGAUGCAGCGACGCCGCGUGGGGGAUGACGGCCUCGGUUGUAACCGUCUUCUAGCAGGACGAAGGGUAGGACGUGACGGUACCG